Molecule: non-coding RNA, 30 nt
Filed under: Mus musculus (house mouse)
Lineage: Eukaryota; Metazoa; Chordata; Mammalia; Rodentia; Muridae
Source: RNAcentral
UGUCAGACUGCCCAGGAAGAGACUCCCCCU